UGAUAAGGGACUGAUGACACCAAACGUCGU
Molecule: non-coding RNA, 30 nt
Filed under: Mus musculus (house mouse)
Lineage: Eukaryota; Metazoa; Chordata; Mammalia; Rodentia; Muridae
Source: RNAcentral